UGGGGAAUAUUGCACAAUGGGCGCAAGCCUGAUGCAGCGACGCCGCGUGGGGGAUGAAGGCCUUCGGGUUGUAAACUCCUUUCGCUAGGGACGAAGCUUUUUGUGACGGUACCUAGAUAAGAAGCACCGGCUAACUACGUGCCAGCAGCCGCGGUAAUACGUAGGGUGCGAGCGUUGUCCGGAAUUACUGGGCGUAAAGGGCUCGUAGGUGGUUUGUCGCGUCGUCUGUGAAAUUCUGGGGCUUAACUCCGGGCGUGCAGGCGAUACGGGCAUAACUUGAGUGCUGUAGGGGUAACUGGAAUUCCUGGUGUAGCGGUGAAAUGCGCAGAUAUCAGGAGGAACACCGAUGGCGAAGGCAGGUUACUGGGCAGUUACUGACGCUGAGGAGCGAAAGCAUGGGUAGCGAACAGGAUUAGAUACCCUGGUAGUCCAUGCCGUAAACGGUGGGCGCUAGGUGUGAGGGUCUUUCUACGACUUUCGUGCCGUAGCUAACGCAUUAAGCGCCCCGCCUGGGGAGUACGGCCGCAAGGCUA
This 533-nucleotide ribosomal RNA is filed under the name uncultured bacterium. Its description in RNAcentral is "bacterial SSU rRNA". It matches the Rfam family "Bacterial small subunit ribosomal RNA", at positions 355 to 896 of the family's 1533-position model. The record is from RNAcentral.